AUUGAACGCUGGCGGCAGGCUUAACACAUGCAAGUCGAACGAUGAAGUCUAGCUUGCUAGACGGAUUAGUGGCGAACGGGUGAGUAAUGCUUAGGAAUCUGCCUAUUAGUGGGGGAUAACGUAGGGAAACUUACGCUAAUACCGCAUACGACCUACGGGUGAAAGGGGGCUUUUAGCUCUCGCUAAUAGAUGAGCCUAAGUCGGAUUAGCUGGUUGGUGGGGUAAAGGCCUACCAAGGCGACGAUCUGUAGCUGGUCUGAGAGGAUGAUCAGCCACACUGGGACUGAGACACGGCCCAGACUCCUACGGGAGGCAGCAGUGGGGAAUAUUGGACAAUGGGCGAAAGCCUGAUCCAGCCAUGCCGCGUGUGUGAAGAAGGCCUUUUGGUUGUAAAGCACUUUAAGUGGGGAGGAAAAGCUUAUGGUUAAUACCCAUAAGCCCUGACGUUACCCACAGAAUAAGCACCGGCUAACUCUGUGCCAGCAGCCGCGGUAAUACAGAGGGUGCAAGCGUUAAUCGGAAUUACUGGGCGUAAAGCGCGCGUAGGUGGUUAUUUAAGUCAGAUGUGAAAGCCCCGGGCUUAACCUGGGAACUGCAUCUGAUACUGGAUAACUAGAGUAGGUGAGAGGGGAGUAGAAUUCCAGGUGUAGCGGUGAAAUGCGUAGAGAUCUGGAGGAAUACCGAUGGCGAAGGCAGCUCCCUGGCAUCAUACUGACACUGAGGUGCGAAAGCGUAGGUAGCAAACAGG
Molecule: ribosomal RNA, 748 nt
Filed under: uncultured Moraxella sp.
Lineage: Bacteria; Pseudomonadati; Pseudomonadota; Gammaproteobacteria; Moraxellales; Moraxellaceae
Description: bacterial SSU rRNA
Rfam family: Bacterial small subunit ribosomal RNA
Source: RNAcentral